Molecule: small nuclear RNA, 128 nt
Organism: Cloeon dipterum
Lineage: Eukaryota; Metazoa; Arthropoda; Insecta; Ephemeroptera; Baetidae
Product: U11 spliceosomal RNA
Exons: 1
Source: RefSeq, a predicted model, not a curated record
GAAAAGGGUGUUUGCCGCUUACAUGGCACAUUGGCCAAAUUGGUCAGUGGGGUAUGGCAAUCAAGACAUACCGAACAUGUAAUUUUUGACCACAGGGGCUGUUGGUAGCCAAGUGCUCCGACGCCUCU